This 450-nucleotide ribosomal RNA is filed under the name uncultured bacterium. RNAcentral's name for it is "partial 16S ribosomal RNA". It matches the Rfam family "Bacterial small subunit ribosomal RNA", at positions 354 to 796 of the family's 1533-position model. The record is from RNAcentral.
GUGGGGAAUUUUAGACAAUGGGCGCAAGCCUGAUCCAGCAAUGCCGCGUGCAGGAAGAAGGCCUUCGGGUUGUAAACUGCUUUUGUACGGAACGAAAAGGCUCUGGUUAAUACCUGGGGCUCAUGACGGUACCGUAAGAAUAAGCACCGGCUAACUACGUGCCAGCAGCCGCGGUAAUACGUAGGGUGCAAGCGUUAAUCGGAAUUACUGGGCGUAAAGCGUGCGCAGGCGGUUUUGUAAGACAGGCGUGAAAUCCCCGGGCUCAACCUGGGAAUGGCGCUUGUGACUGCAAGGCUGGAGUGCGGCAGAGGGGGAUGGAAUUCCGCGUGUAGCAGUGAAAUGCGUAGAUAUGCGGAGGAACACCGAUGGCGAAGGCAAUCCCCUGGGCCUGCACUGACGCUCAUGCACGAAAGCGUGGGGAGCAAACAGGAUUAGAUACCCCAGUAGUCC